Molecule: ribosomal RNA, 253 nt
Filed under: uncultured bacterium
Lineage: Bacteria
Also listed under: 1 other name
Description: partial 16S ribosomal RNA
Rfam family: Bacterial small subunit ribosomal RNA
Source: RNAcentral
UACGUAGGGUGCGAGCGUUGUCCGGAAUUAUUGGGCGUAAAGAGCUUGUAGGCGGUUUGUCGCGUCUGCUGUGAAAAUCCGAGGCUCAACCUCGGACUUGCAGUGGGUACGGGCAGACUAGAGUGUGGUAGGGGAGACUGGAAUUCCUGGUGUAGCGGUGAAAUGCGCAGAUAUCAGGAGGAACACCGAUGGCGAAGGCAGGUCUCUGGGCCACUACUGACGCUGAGAAGCGAAAGCAUGGGGAGCGAACAGG